Molecule: transfer RNA, 129 nt
Organism: Macrophomina phaseolina MS6
Lineage: Eukaryota; Fungi; Ascomycota; Dothideomycetes; Botryosphaeriales; Botryosphaeriaceae
Rfam family: tRNA
About the family: Transfer RNA (tRNA) molecules are approximately 80 nucleotides in length. Their secondary structure includes four short double-helical elements and three loops (D, anti-codon, and T loops).
Source: Rfam
UCCGUUAUGGUCUAGGGGUUAGGAUUCUCCGCUUUCAACUGGAUUCCGAGGUCGAAUGGUCAAAACAUUCUAAUCCUCGGUGAGAGUCUGUGAGCCGGAGCGGCCCGGGUUCGAUUCCCGGUAACGGAA